This 25732-nucleotide long non-coding RNA is filed under the name Nicotiana tabacum (common tobacco). RNAcentral's name for it is "long non-coding RNA (NTAB_LNC011986)". Lineage: Eukaryota; Viridiplantae; Streptophyta; Magnoliopsida; Solanales; Solanaceae. The record is from RNAcentral.
AGAGAAGGAGAGAGAGGAAUUUUAGUCCAAAGAUCGAGCGAGCAGAGAUAAAAAAAAAAUAACAGGGGAAUUGGACAAAACAAAGAACAAAGGGGAACGACAAAAAUAGGGAGGAGAUUAGAAAACCAUUGAAACCUUCACCUUCUUCCUCAAUUCAAUCACUUAAUUCAUCCAUGGAUCUUACUGUUAAGAAGUUUAUUUUUCCGCCAUAGCAGAUCUAUCUACACCCCCAGUAGACUACCGGCUCUUAGCCUUCACUAUCGUGAAAUCCCAGUUGCAAUCUCGGUAAAACCCAGACACCAACAGUUUAUUUUCCAACUCUCAUCAUUAUCGAGUUUCGAGUUUUCCGGCGAGGUAUGUAAACAAAAGGAAUUCGUGUCAGUGAGGUUUCUGGUUCGAGGACCGUCCGGCAUCUGUAAUUCAGGUUCCAAUCGUUUGAGGUCUAUUUCUCUCUUAUUUUGCUGAUUUGCUUAAUAUCGUGCUUUCCUUUGUUUCGCUAAUUGUUGCUUCUCUGUCUUGUUGAUCGUUUGAGUUGUUGUUCUAUUGUUAUGUUUGGAGUGUCUCAGUAAUACUUGCUUACUCUGUUUCGUUCUAUUGGUCAUCAUUUUUGGUGUGGUUUUGUUUAAUCUGUUCGGGUGGAUUUUGAUGCAUAAAAGGAGUUUCUGAUUCUUUGUUUUGUUGUUUCAGUUAGAGAUAAAAUGUUUAAGUCCUCCUAGUUACUACUCUAACAAUAAUACUAUGAUUAAAUUAACAUAAUUAAGUAGAUUGGAUGGAAUUUUGAUUGUUUCAGUUGUGGGAAUUAGAUUUUAAAAUAAGGAGGAAAUUGGGGUUAAAUAAUUUUAUUGCUCUUUUAUUCUUACUCUCAUGAAUUUGAUCGAUAGUAGCAUGCUUAGGCCGUUAACACCUGGGUAGGCAAACUUUAGGAUUUUUAUUAGUUUGAGGUGAGAGGUCGUUCCUUUAGUUAAAUUCAUCCGGAGAAUGUCCCGAAGGAUUUGUAUAUAUUUUAUUCUGGGGAAUACGCCGUAGUAUUCUGUAAUUGGAGGCUAAGAGUAGAAGUUGUAGUGUUUUAUUCUUAUUUUAUUUUUCUUUAUUAGGAGGGGACGACCUCGAGCCUCUUAUGUGUUAAUUUUCCCAUUUCUGUGUUUAUUACCUCAAUUCGAACAUUUUAAAAGCCAACUUGAUCAUGUACGCAACCGUACUAGUUACGGGACUCGGGGAAUGUCUAACACCUUCUCCCUGAAGCAAAUGAACCCCCUUACCAGAAUCUCUGGUGCAAACUUAGUUUUGGAGUCUCAAGUGUUUUGAAAGGGAAAAAAUUAUUUUUAGAAAAACAGUGACCUGACAUACCGAGAUCAAAUAUCAGGUGGCGACUCUGAGUUAAUCCUUUUGAACACAAAUUCUUUGUCACUUUCAAAAAUUGAAAACCCUUUGAACUUUACAAAUUCCUUUUAUUAUUUUAAGAGGGGUUACUGAAGGUUGAAAAAAAAGGGUGUGACAGACCCCCCUUCUCCAUUAGUUCAAAUUCCUUUAGUUUUUCCUCCUCCUUCAAGUCAUUUCAUCCAUGACACUUCUCCUCAACACUCACUUACACCACUAUCUACACCCACAUCUCACACCAAUCCUAGUUGUCUUCCUACACACCUUAAUUCACCCGUUGUUUCACCUGCUCCUCCACCUGCUUCCCUUAAUUCCCCUACUCCUUCUCCUGUUUCUUCCUCUCCAUCUAUUCCCCUCAGGAGAUCAAACAUAAUAUAGGCACCCUGCCUUGUUAUCUUAAGGACUAUGUUUGCAAUAACAUCUAUUUCACUGAUCUUACCACUUCCUUUUUUUUCUACUCCUUGUUCACCACCUCCAUUCUCUUUUUCUGCCCUCGCCACCUCUAAUCAACAUCUUAGUCAUUCUCUCUCUACCAUUUCAGAACCAACCACUUACAAUCAGGCCCAUUCCAAUCCAGGUUGGGUCCAAGCCAUGGAUUCUAAACUUCAAGCUUUGGAAGAGAAUCACACAUAGGAUGUGGUUCUCUUACCUUCUGGCAAGAAAGCUCUUCCUUGUAAAUAGGUCUACAAGUUCAAGCACCAUGCUAAUGGCACUAUUGAAAGGCUAAAUGCCAUGUUAGUUAUCAGGGGUGAUGUGCAGAGAGAAGGCAAUGACUACACAGAAACCUUCUCUCCAGUUGUCAAAAUGACUACUAUCAGGUGUUUAUUUUCUAUUGCAGUCAAGAAAGGGUGGCCCAUUUCUCAAUUUGAUGUAAGUAAUGCCUUUUUACAUGGGGAGUUACAGGAAGAGGUUUACAUGAAAUUUCCUGCUGGGUUGUCUUCCCAGGCCUAACUAUGUUUGUCGACUUAAAAGGUCUCUUUAUGGCUUGAAGCAAGCUUCAAGACAAUGGUAUGCAAGACUUGUUGGAGCCCUCGGUUUUAAAGGAUUCUCUUCAUCCCUAAACGAUUACUCCCUAUUCUUUAAACACACAGGGGAUCUCAUUUCCAUUCUUACUGUAUACGUAGAUGAUAUACUAAUUACAGGCAAUAAUUUUAAUGAAUUAUCAGAUCUUAAAGUAUUUCUACAUUCUGAGUUUAAAAUGAAGGACCUUGGGCCUCUUCACUACUUCUUAGGCAUGGAGAUUUUGAGGGAGCAUGAUGGAAUUAUUAUAACUCAAAGGAAAUUUACCACUGACUUGCUUGCUGAAUUUGAUUGCUUCUCUCUCCCACUGGUUUCUUCUCCACUUGAUCUAUCUUCCAAGUUGAUUGCCAAUUCUGGAGCUCUUUUAUCUGAUGCUUCCCUCUAUCGUCAUCUUGUUGGCAAGCUCAAUUAUUUGACUCACAAGUGGCCUGAUCUUUCAUUUGCCAUUUUGACUCUCAGGAAAUAUAUGCAACACCCUUGCAUUGGGCAUUUCACAGCAGCUUAUGCGUCCUUCGUUAUUUUCGCUCUAAUCCAAGCCAAGGUUUGUUCCUCAAUGCUCGACCCUCUUUUGAUUUAUUGGCUUUUUGUGAUGUUGAUUGGGCUUCUUACCGUGAUAGUCGUCGCUCAGUCAGUGAGUUUUUCAUCAGUUUGGGUGGUUCACCGGUGUCUUGGAAAUCUAAGAAGCAAGCUUCUAUGUCUCUAUCUUCCGUUGAAGCAGAGUAUCGUUCAAUGCGUCGCCUAGUGGCUGAGCUUACUUGGUUAACUCGUCUUCUCACAGAUCUAUCUGCUCCUCAUCCGAUUCCAGUUCUAAUUUUCUCUAACAGCCAAACGGCCAUACAUAUUGCCCGGAAUCCCGUCUUUCAUGAGAGAACCAAACACGUUGAACUCGAUUGCCAUUUUGUAAGGCAACAGUUCCUUUCCGGCCUCAUCUCCCUCUCUUUUAUACCCUCAAAACAUCAACUUGCUGAUUUAUUCACCAAACCCUUGUCAGGGCCUUCUCACAGAUCGAUCCUUGGCAAGUUGGGGGUAUCUUUCUAUCCCCUCCAACUUGAGGGGGGAUGUUGGAAUACAUCGAUCUCACUCUUUGAUUUCUCAGAAAGAUCUGAUUUCUCAGCAAGAAAUUCAUACAGAAGAAGAGAAGAAAAGAAUCGAUGAAGAAGAAGAAGGAAAGAAAGGACCAACAGUUUUGGACAAAACAAUUUCGGAUAAAACAAAGCUAAGUCCAUUCUCUGAUAAGCCAUGUGACAAGCCACGCGGCAUCAUCUCAGCCAACAAAUCAAAUGAUGAAGUUUUUAAUCUGGAUCGUCCACUUCUCACAUGCACACAAAGGGCUCACAUGCUAAAGGAAUAUUAAAUAGUUACAUUGUUAAAAUUAUCUAGUAAAAAUAGGACAAGUGUACAUAAUUCAUAGGGUAGUUUUAUUUUCAGAUUCUUUUCUAGGUAGCUAAUAUCUGUAUAAAUACAUAGUCCUCUUGUACAGUGAUUUUCAUUCAGAAAUACACAGAAAUUUUCACAAUCAUCUUUCUCAAUUUUCUACACCUAAAGAGGAGUUUAUUAAAUUGGUAUUUAAUGAGAACGUUUUACAUGUAACUCUGGGUUUAGAUUAACCAAACUUAAAAGAACAUUUUUAUUUUUAUCUUUUAUAUUUAACUAUGCAAUACUUCAAGGUCACUGAUCCAAUUUUUAACUAAAAAGUUCUCCGUUAUUGGAACACAAGAUUUCAGAUUAAGUAGAAAGAUAUCCUAAUCAUUCCGUCUUCGAUAAUUAGAAUACUUUGUUUCUUAUUGUCUUCUUGUAUGUAUGAGUUAGAACUUAGAGAUGCUUGAAUAGAAAUAAAGAUAUGCUAUUCCACUACAUUGUUUGGGACUACUUUGGGUGAUAGGAUUUCUUUAUUCCUAUCUAUCUUCUUGUUAUCGAUUGGUUGAAAAGGCAAUAAGACUCGCACAAAAUGGUGAUUGGUGGAGUUGUUUGACAAAAAGUUUUAAACCCUUUUAGUUAAAUUAAUUUAAUAAAUAGACAAGGGGCGAAUCCAAGUUAAAAAUAAUAAAUUUCAGAUCCUAAAUUAAAACUAGGAUGAUAUGAGACCGUGCUCAAGUUAACAAUGCCGAGUUAAUACUCAAUGACUAUUAAUAAAUAUGAGAAUAAAAACAUGCAAUAAAUGUGAUAAAUGACAUUAAAUGUAAUAAGAAGGAAUUUGUCACCCAAAUGUUAGAUGAGAUAGAUGAUUCCUUCCUCUGACUACAACGUGUGACAACAAACAAUGGAAGUAAACUACGUGUUCUUGGAUCUUGCGAACUAUAGAGGAAUGUUAUAUAAUGGAAUCAAACAAAGGAGACAAAACCAACUCUUUGUAUAUUCUUGAUAGUUAACUCUUUAUAGGAUGAUCUUUCAUAAAAGUUCCGAAUCCCCUUUUGUUUCUCCUCUUCCUAUUUAUAAGGAAUAUCCCUAGAAAACUCUAAAAAAUACAAUAUGGGGGAAUAUUCAAUAAAAUAUUCCUAUUCAUAAUCCUAGGAAUAUUCUAACAGUUGCAGCCGUUUGCUCUCUACUCGACCUCGGCACUGGUCUCUCCCUUUGAGCGACUCCUCGCUACUGGACCAUGCUUGAUUUCGACCAAUCCGAGAUGUAAAUUAUCCCAAUUGGUUAGCCAACAUAGUAGUUGUUCGUAAAAAGAAUAAUAAAUUUGAAAUGUGUGUACAUUAUAAAGAUAUGAAUAAGGCAUGCCCUCAAGACUCUUUUCAGUUGCCGAACAUUUAUCAAAUGAUUGAUGCUACGACCGGGAAUGGGUUAAUGAGCUUUCUUGAUGCGUAUUCCGAGUAUAAUAAAAUUAAGAUGCACCCAGAGGAUCAAGAAAAAACUUCUUUCAUCAUAAAUUUUGGCACUUAUUACUAUAAUGUGAUACAUUUCGGGCUUAAGAAUGCCAGAGCCACUUAUCAAAAGCUCGUUAAUAAAAUGUUUGACUAGCAAAUUGGUAAAACUAUGGAAGUUUAUGUUGAUGAUAUGCUGGUUAAGUCUCUUAAUGUAGGAUAUCAUUUGGCUCAUCUACAAGAGACAUUUGAUAUUCUAAAGAAACACAAUAAGAAGCUCAAUCCAGAAAAAUAUGCUUUUGGAGUUGGUUAUGGAAAGUUUCUUGGCUUCUUGGUUUCACAACGAGGAAUUGAAGUGAUUUCCAACAAGAUUAAGGUCAUAGAAGAUAUCCCUGAUCAAUUGACAAGUGCAAAAAGAAGUUAAGAAGUUGACUGCUUGGUUGGCAGCACUUAGUAGAUUCAUUUUGAGGUCUUCGGAGAAGUGUCAUCAUUUCUUCUCACUCUUGGCACUUCUCCGAAGACCGCAAUAUGAAUCUACUAAGUGCUGCCAACUGACCAGUCAACCUCUGAACUUUCUUUAUAUUUGUAACUUGAUCAGGGAUAUCUUCUAUGGCCUUAAUCUUAUCGGUAUUCACUUCAAUAACUUGUUGUGAAACCAAGAAGCCAAUAAACUUCUCGAAACCAACUCCAAAAGUUCUGGAUUGAACUUCAUGUUGUAUUUCCUUAGAAUAUCAAAUGUCUCUUAUAGAUGAUCCAAAUGAUCUCCUGCAUUAAGAGAUUUAACCAGCAUAUCAUUAAUAUAACCUUCCAAUGUUAUACCAAUUUAUUGUUUAACAUUUUUCGUAGACUCCGAAAUACCAGCAAGCAUUGAAAAACCUAAAAAGUACAUGUCUAGCCCUCCGAUGUUGUCAAAACCGAAGGAAAGUGAGCAAUUGUUAAUUUAUUUAGCAGUUUUAGAGGUUUUAGUGAGUACAGUUUUGAUCCAAGAGGAGGAAGGUACACAAUUUCUUAUUUAUUAUAUUAGCAAAGUUUUAUCGGGAGCGGAGACACGUUAUCCACACUUCGAAAAGUUGUCCCUAGCUCUCGUAGUUGCCUCUCUAAAUCUUAGGCAUUAUUUUCAAUAUUAUCUCGUAGUUUUGUCAUGAAUUUUCCCUUGAGGAGCAUCCUUCAUAAGAUGGAAUUAUCGGAUCGAUUAGCUAAAUGCGCAAUCCAAGUUAGUGAAUUCGAUAUUGAAUAUAAACUCAGGACUACAAUCAAGUCAAAAGUUUUGGCCGACUUUGUGGCUGAUUUUAGUUUCGAUAUGAUUCCUUUAGCUUCUCAGGAAGCAACUUUAAUAUCCAAAACUAUUUUCAAUGUUUGGACUUUGUUUACAGAUGGGACCUCUAAUGUAAAAGGUUUCGCUCUCAGGAUUGUGUUAAUCACUCUUUCGGAAGAAACCCUAAGGCAAACCAUUAACUAUUACUUUGACUAACAAUGAAGUCGAGUAAGAGGAUUUGGUUGUAGGACUUGAAUUAGCUCGGGAGCUAGGCUCCGAUGUGAUUGAAGAACAACACAAUAGGGAUCCAAUAAUUACUAAAGAAAAUCAAGAAACGUGCGGAAGCUAAAAGAAAAUAAAAAAACAAAAAAGACUGAAAUUAAAGAUAGAUUGAAUUCAAGAAAGAGUUUCUUGAAUUCAAGAAGUAUAUUCCUGUAGUUGAAUCCUAACAACAACAAUUAUCUAAAGAAGAACUAAUCGCCUUUGGUAGAGAAUUAAAAACAAGAUAUAGAUUGUGAAACCCGACCCUUAGAAUAACAAAAAUAAUAAUAAGCAUAAACUUAUCACAUUUUUUGAAUAUCUAGAAGUGAUAUAAGAUUUUGAAAAAAGUUUAAUCUUACCACCUUAAAUUGAGUAUUGAAGAUUGAAGAAUAAAUUCAAGAGUAGCCACACACAAGGGUGCAAGAAAAAUCUCACAAUUUUUACUGAUAAUAAUCUAUCAUAAUCUAAAUCUAAAAACAAAAAAUACACUCCUUUAUAUAGAAAGGGGUUCACGGAAUUCUACCUAAAAAACAAGAAAAUAAAGUCCUAAACUACUUUGGACAAUAAGUCCAACUACCUUAGGAAAAGAAAAAAUACUAGGAAACAAAAACCAAGUCAUUCUUGGAAAGUAGUUCUAAUAAUCUUAGGAAAAGGAAAACAUAAGCUUAACUACGUAGUAAAAAAAAUAAAUAUAGUCCCAAAAUAUAUGAAAAUAAGUCAAAACCAAUGCAGGAUAGGAUCUUGAAAGUCCCAACCGAUCUUGGAAAUCUUGAAAGAAAUUUGCAAGCAACUUCAAACCAACUUGCACUCAACUUCUAGCAGCUUAUUGUACCCUUCUUGGACAUCAAGUACGUUCUUUUUAUAUUAUAAAAAUGUGACUUUGUGUAGGACUUCAUGGACUGCAAGUUUAAACAUAUUUAGGUGCCAAAUUGGUUCAACAGUGGACUGAUUAGGACCUUCUUCAAAGGAUGUCUCUUGGGAUCCAAUACUCCUCUUCUUGGACAUAAAUUUGGUCCAUAAAACAAUUGUAACACCUAGCUAAUUCACAUCCUUUAUCCUUGAUUUCUUCCUCCCAAUUAAUAACUUUUUUAUUUGCACUUGAAGUCUAAUGACCUUAUUUUGUAACUCUUUAGCUUGGCAUCUUGUUAAAGGCCCUCUUUGAGAUUCCAAAGCUUCAUCCUUGUUCUUGAAUAGAUUUGAGCUUCGUGGGAUGCUAUCACUUUCACCCCAAAGAGGAGCACAUGUAACAGUACUUGAAUAAGGUACAGGUUCUACUUUCCCGAUUCACGGAGUGGUCGAUUAUUCAUAUCCAAAGGGAAGAGAACAUGAAAACAUAUGCAUUGGCCAAUCUAGGAUCGUUCACAAAAAUGAAGGGACCCAAUUCUAGUGUAUUUGUUCAAAUUUUGCAUUCGGUCCUGAAUGUAGAUGGGUAUUGCAAAGUCAACUCGACACACUUAAUUUGGGAUUGGAGAAAUGAGUUUAUAGAGUAUUUAAGGCAUGAAAAAUUUCCUGAAGAUCCUAAAGAUUCCCGGUCACUACAAACUAAAGCUACUCAUUAUUGCCUUGUUGAUGGUCAAGUGUACUGAAGGUUGUUUUAAGGACCAUUAGCUCGGAGUUUAGGGACAUCAAAGGCUGAUUAUGUGAUGAGAGAAGUUAACGAAUGUGUCUGCAAAAAUCAUUCCAUUGCAGACUCGUUGGUUCUCAAAUUGAUAAGGGUUGGCUACUAUUUGCCUCGAAUGAAACAAGACGCGAAGAUAAUUGUAAUAAAAUGUGAUAAGUGUCAGUGUCAUGCACAGUUGGUGCAUCAACAGGCGGAGCUUUUGUAUUCGAUGGUGUUACGGUAGCUGUUCAUGAAAUGAAGAAUAGACAUAGUUAGUCCCUUACCUCAAGGGCCCGGGCAGGUGAUUUUUUUUAGUUUUAACUUAUUAUUUCACUAAAUGGGCUGAAGGUGGUGCUUACAAAAUGAUUGGACAGCGAGAAGUGAUUGAUUUCAUAUGGAAUCAUAUCAUCUGUCGGUUUGGAUUACCGAAAGAGAUUGCUUGUGACAAUGUGCCAUAAUUUAUAGGUUCCAAGGUCACAAAGUUUUGGAGGGAUUGAAGAUCAAAAGGAUUAGGUAUUCUCCAUAUCAGCUAAGUGCCAACGUAUAAUCAAAGUCAACCAACAAAUUUGUAAUUCAAAUCCUCAAAAAGAAAUUAAAGGAUGUGAAAGGUAAUUGACCAGAAGAGCUACCGGGAGUAUUAUGGGCAUAUCGAACAAUGGUGAAGUCAAGAAGGAUAAAUUCUAUUUUCACAUGUGUAUGGUGCGAAAGCUUUGAUCCCGGUGGAUAUCGGGGAGCCGACCAUAAGUUAUUCCUGGGAAAACUAUGAGGCAAAUAAUGAAGCAAUACAAAUUAAGCUGAAUUUGCUUGAAGAACAUCAAAAUCCAACAUAUAUGAGAAUGGUGGCACAAAAGCAAAUGAUGAAAAGAUAUUACAACCGCAAAGUAAAUAUUUGAUAUUUCAAAGUCGGAGAUUAAGUUUUUAAGAAAGUAACUCAAAAUACUCUGGAGGUAACAAGAGCGGCUUCAUGAUCCCUCUUCCGGUUAAGGAGGUCUUGCAAUUGUUGCUGGGCUUCCGCUGGGUCAUGAGAAACCUCAACAAUAGGGCAAACGGAAGACCCUUUCGGAAGGCAUAUGUAUUACGAAAUGGGAGUCAGUAAAUUAGUUCUAAAUCAUGAUGAAGAUUUUAGGGAAAAGAGAAAUUUUACUUACCAUGAUUUUGGAUUUUUAAUUAAAUCUGGGGGCAAUUUCUUUCCACCUACGGGAAUCCGAUGUGAAAACAUUCUAAAACUUUCAGUACUCAUUGAGCCAGGUUCUUAACCGAUGGUGGUUCCCAACGGGUAACUGAAAUAAGGAAAAUAAAGUUAGCAAAUAAGAAUUCUCUUUAACACAAUAAGAAAAGAUAUUUGAAAACUUGUGAGUAAAGUUCCAAGAUUUAGGGAUGGAAGGAGUUGUUGGCAGAAGGAUGUCCCUGGUAGCAAUGACAAUGAACCAUUCCAUCCAACUAAGGUCAUUAUCGUCAUCAACGCUGGUAAUGAUGGUAUGGUGGCUGUGUUUGCUGAGUUUGAUCACGCCUCCACGAAAUAUCUUUAGGGAGUAGAGGUUGAUCAACUGGGAAAGUGUGAGGGUUCCUCCGACCUGGGAGCACAGUGUCCAAAGGUAAGCCACCGUACACCAUAUUGAUGGGCUUAUUUGAGCCAAGAAAAUUUGGUAGCGAUGGCAAAAUUCUAAAAUAAUGGAGUCAAGUUCUUGACCCAAUUUUAGGGUAAAAGGGUAUGUAUAAAUAUACAUGAACCCUAGUUUUCUAAAUGUGAUCCUUACCACUUUAUUGGAGACAAAUAUUUCGAUGUUAUUCUAGUUGCAAUCUUCCUUUACAAUAGAAAUACUAAUUGGACGAAUAAAAGAAUAGUAUCUGCAGACUGACCAGUUUCUGUCAUUCUUGGGGUUGAUAGUUUCUUUAUGUACUUGAAAAUCCAACUCAGAGUGAAGUUGGAAAGAUAUGACUGUGUUGACGGUAGGUGGUUCGGCUUCAGCAUCAACUUUCUUAGUUUUGUUAGAAGAGCCACCACCAAUGAGAAAGAUAUAGUUUUUGAGGAUAGAGGUAGUAGAAGACAUGGUGAUAAGAAAUCCGAAUAAGAAAAUUUUACUAAGAAAGAGGGGUUAUUGCAGUUGGGUUCUUAGGAAAUUCGAACAAGAGGAGUUUGUAAAAGUGAAAGGUAAAAAUAAUGCGUGGUGGAGAAGUUUAUAGGAGGCAAAAUUCAUGGUCAUGAUUACCUUGAAAAUUGGAGAAAAUAUUUACCAAAUCACGGGAUAAGACGUGUUUAUCUCAUUAAAUGCAAGGAGAUGUGCGUGCUUUCAUGUGUUAGAAACUGUUUAGGAACUUCUUCGCUAAGAAAAGAGAUCUUAUCUACAUUCCGGUAAUACACAGUUUUAUCAUCGGAAAGUAGGGAGACUAUCAGUAUGGGGUAAAAUUGGUAAAUGACAGGUGAAUGCUUGACGAGUUGACACGUGAAAGCAAAGACAAGUAAGGCAUAAGUCAACAAAUAGCUGGCACCAGUUACAAGCAUGUAGCUAUUGCUGGGUAAGUUCUGAGGAUAGUAAAACCGAGGACAAAGAUUUGAAUGGAGUAUAUCGGUUGAAAAUACGACAUUCAAGAGCAUACGUUGCAAAAAAUAUUUUCUAUUAAUACCCAUCCGUUAUUCAACCAUCAAGAUGGGUUUAUUCGUAUAAAAGAAGGGCUUAAUUUAUUGAUCUUGUUUCCCUGAAUUUAGGUAUAAAUAGGAGGAUUCAUAUUCAUUGUAGGACAGAAAAAUAUUUUGUGCACAAAAAGCUAAAUCUGCUAUUAAUAUUUUUUUCUACUUUCUCUCUUUUUGUUCUUCAUAUUACCACAGGAUAAGCUAAAUCAUAGUCAGACUUGUACUUUCUUCAAAUUUAUUUAAUUUUUUUAUCUUUGCUCUUAGCUAUUUUAUAUUCAUGGAUCAAAAUAAUGCACGUGUUUAUAAAUCACUUUACAAAUUUAACUGUACCGUUUUAUGGGUAAACAAUACAUACUAUCUCAACCUUUAGAAUGUUUAUUCAGUGUUUGUUCCUUUUAGCUUCCAACAAUUCCUACAUAUUCAUGUAUGUCAACAUUUUCUCUUUAUUUCUUUAACUUUAUAAAGGUGACAAGAAAAUCAAUUAAGUAAUUCAUGGUUUAAUUCAAUACGAAUAAUUAAUAAUAGUAGAUAAAUGAAUUAAAUAUUAAAUAAACGAUAAAAUCAAUCGUAGUAUUAUGAACAAGCCUGAUCUUAGAUUGAACUGGGACCUCGUCCUCGAUUGGACCCUCGGUUCGGGUCCAGUAGUGAAUGAAUAACAGAACAAGUUAGCAAAUUUCUGAACACUAGCUAGAAGGUAAAAAUAAAUUUUUGUUGCCUUGAAUUGCAUGUUACAAUGUGUCAGAAGAAAAGAAAAGCCUCCCCUUUAUAUGGUAGGAGAGUUUCAAUCUUAGUAGAAGUCUUAAAAGGUAAAAAUUUUCUUUUUCUAGUAAUUAUUGAUCCACAAUCUACAUUGAGUGAUAUUUGCACUAUGAUAUCAGUUUGAGUGUGAGUAUCACGGCCCUGUAUCCUUCAUAAACAAUUGUUCAUCAUGUUUUCUGAGGUUUAUAACUUACACUUGGCCGGGGGCGUAUUGUUUUACCACAUCCAAUGACGGAUACAUCGUUCACUCUUCCUAGGUCUCUAUACAAAGGGUCGCUGACCUCGAUUACAAUUUUGCAGAUCCGUGCUCUCACUCCGUUUUCUCAUAGGGGAAUCGGGCUAGACAUGGCCCCCGAUUUUACCCGUAUACAGAUAGUCCCUUCGUUUUCCUGAGAGUAGGUUUACCGAAAUGACAGGAAGCGAUAAAUGGACACUACUUCCUUCCUUCAUACAUUACAAUCAAAAUGACGGGUCAACGUAACGUCCCAUGAGUCGCGUCAUUCUAACUUCGGACACGUGUCAGUCGCUGGUUGACUAUCCUCGAAUAUGAAACGUCAUGCAUUGAUUGUUCUUCCUUAUAAAACCUUUGACCCUUUUUCCUUUCUUCUACUUUUCGAUUCUGAAACUUACCCUCGAAUUAUCUACUUGCAUUUAAUUCCUUCAAAUCUUCAUACAUUCUCCUUGGAUCUUCAGCCCAAACCUUCAUACUUUCAUCCCAUCUUCAAAUCUUCAGAUUUUGUCUUCAAACCUUCGUAUCUUUUCAUCAGACCUUCAUAUUUUUUCCUCAAACCUUCGUAUUUCCCAGAUCCCAAUGGAUAAAACUUCCAAAUCUGUGCAUCGGCAAACUGCUCCUUCAUCUUCCAACCCGGCCACAGACGUCAGGAUGGCAAUUCCCGAGGUGGCUUAGGAGCCCCCCUUGAAGAGCUUUGUACCCGAGGGUUGCUCUAUCGGGAACGAUUUUCACGUCGAGAAGGCUUCUAGUCAGCAGGACCGAGGCGAAGCAGCAUGGAGGUACAUAUGCUCCAUUAAUAAGGAAACACUACCCACAAUCUGGGUGGACUAUAACUGGAAGGGCAAGGAGGUGGUCGUCCCCGAGCCCAACGAUGGAAUUACUACUCACAUGGAGGGGUAAUUAAGUAUUUACACUUACCUCUUCACGCUCGCCCAUGUGGACCCCAUAGUCCUCGACUUCUGUAAAAGGUACGAGGUCUUCCUUGGGCAGAUUCACCCAUCCUUUUGGAGGAUCGUAAUCCUUCUCCGACACUUUAUGAACAACUCCGAAGCUCCUUGGUUCACCCCCAACCAUCUUCUUUAUCUAUACAGUCCCCAAAUCUUUUGAGGGGGGUUGAUUAAGCUCGUUCGCUGAGAAACCAAAGCUCCGUUCUCGAGCAUCGACGAGGACCGAGAUCGAGGCUAGCAUGAGAGGUUCAUUCGGGUGAAAACCGAAGACCACAUCCCCUACGAAUUUAUACCGUUCUCAGAGAAGUGGAAUGCCUCCUAUAAGUCUUUUAAUUAUCGAGCAUUUGGCAUUUCCUUUUAUUCCUUUUCUAUUUUCCGGUAUUUGUGUAGCGAUUGCCCAAGUUCCUGAUGUAGUCCCUCACUUCAAGGAGUAGAUUGAGGGGAUAUGCAAAUAGAUGCCAUACUCCGAGCGCGCAUGGCGCAAGCUCUCAAAGGGAAAGUGGGAGGCUCGUUCCCAUGGUGAGCCUCCUCCCGAAUGAUUACCUUCAUACUCUUGGUUUACAGAUCACUAAGUCUUCUUCCUUCUUACAGGUUUGCCCAAAACUACCGAACUCAGGCUGUUGGAUGAGGACGAGGGUCCGUCCUCACUUGCCAAACCCUCCUCUUUGGAACAUCUCGGGGUUGCCGCAAAGGAGGAGAAAUAUAAGUAGAAAAGGAAGUCCCCAGGCUCCCCGAAUGCUGAGGCAAAGAAGAAGAAGGUAACCAUCCGGGUCUGGAAAAUUAAAAAGAGCACCAAGUCCAAGGUACCGAACUCUGAUUCCCUCUACUGGCUCAGGGAUUAUCCCGAGGACGACAACCUUGAGUUUAUUGCUCAUGGGUCGACCCUUAAUGAGGGGGAGUAGGCGGCAAUCGGGAAAGAUGACCAUGAGUUUGAUACUCCUCUAGCUCGAGAAUUAGAGGGAGAGACGGAGGCUGCGACCUCUCGGGAACCCGCUCCUAUCCCGAAGGAGGUAACUGGUGUCAUUGACAUCAUUGAGAAACCAUUCUAUAUCGAGUCUAUGCUCGAAGAGGCUCAAGCGGGUAAGGAGAAAUCAAACGAGACAGAGCCAGGUCCAUGUGCCCUCAACACGUUCUUCGACAUCAUGGACAUGGCCGAGUUGAGGACGUUUUCGGGCUUGGUCACCUGGUGGUGCCAAAGAAGAUGUUCCAUUAGAGGCGGGGCGAGCUGAGCUCGAGCCCAAAACUAUUGAAGUAGUUCCCUGCGCCGAGUAUCGACCCCGGCCAUAAGAGAAUAGUCAUUCUUACUAUCCCAAUGGAACCCCCGGCCUUGUCUACUCCGGUGUGCGUAGCCAGCUACCUUUGUUGUCUGGUGACCGAUGAGGACCAGAUAAAUAUGAUCGAUGUAGGCACAUCGAGCCUCUUUAACGAGGUGCAACAAGUACUGAACCAGGUAAGGCGUCUACCAUUCGUACCCCUUUAGGAAUCUUGCUUAGUUUUAGACAUGUUCUAAUGACUUUAUAUUUUUUAGGCUUCAGUACUUUAUCAUUAAAGCUUCACUUCGGUCCCUCAUGGAGAUCAACCAGCUCAAGUUCGAGCUCAAAGAGCAAAUCCAGUGAAGGAUAUGUAUAUGGCUCUUAUUGAACAACAAGAUGAAGCCCUCAAGGACCUCCCAAUUCUCUGAGCCGAACUGGAAAAAGGCCCAGAAGGAGGCCUCGACCUUGAAGCGGGAGCACGCCAACCUGGUCGAGAAGGUAAGAUCUUUGAGGCUAAGAAUGAGAAACUACUCGUGGUGACUAACAACUCAACUUCGCAGGUCCAAGAGAAGAUAAACCUGAUCGACCAGCUUCGGGAUGAGAUGGAUGAGGUUAAGGCCACGACCAAGGCGUGAAAUGGGCAGGAUGGACCUAUUGGCUUUGGAAAAUGAGGCUGCAAAAGCAGAGCUGGCAUCGGCCAAGGACCAAAUCUAGGUGGCAAGGGAUAAGGCUGACAAGUGGUCUCGACUAAAUGAUGAACUCCGGGCACAGUUGAACUCGGCCGUCACUAAACGUGAUGCCUUCGACCAAGAAUAUGCGAUGCUAAGGUAAAAAUUAGAGGAAACUUCUGUUGAUUCCUCUAACAUCGAGGAAAUGCAGGCCCAGUAUAAGGCUAAUGUGGAGAUAGAUGAGGCCCGCCUAAAGAUGAAGACCAAGUACGUAAAGAGGCUAUCUUUAAGAAAGAUCCUCGGGGAGAUCCAUGCCCUAGGUAUUGACCUAUCAGCCAAGAUCGAGAAGCCAAGAAACUUGAGGCCGAGGCAAAGGAACAUUACAAGCCUGAGGGUCCCGAAGGUUUCAAGGGUUCUGAGGGUUCCUAUGAUUCUGGUGACGAGUCGAGCCCCGGUGACGACCAGGCGUAAAUGCCUUAGUUCUUUUUUAGUUUUUUCCUUGUAUAUUUUUCUUUUUUGUUUAUUUUAAGGCCUCUUUAUGGUGCCUUUGUAAAUAAUUUUUUUGAAUAUAUAAAAUUUUCCCCUUUCGGAAAUACCGUGUCUUUACUUUUCAGCAUCUAUUUGCAAUUUCUAUUUGUGUACUAUUUUUAAUGCCUUAGCAUAAGAUUAAAUGUAGUCUAGAGCAUCCGUUUUUCGGAGGCAUAAAUAGGGCCCAAUUUCAAUGGCAACUCUGUAUUACUUGUGGCUUCGCGUCUUCGAUAAAACCGAUUUCCUUUAAGAUGCUUAAGUGUCUUAGAAGAUGUUUUUGUUGAGGUUAAACUUUUAAUAUGUUUCCAUUUUUGUAAGGGUCUUACUUUCUGAGCACGGACUUCGAAUUUCUCCAAGCCAUUUUUAGGGUGGUCGUAGCCUUUUGUAUUUAGGCAGUACCUAAUAGGCUUGGUGCCUCCGGGAUUCGGUAGCUCGAGUCGUCCGAAAUUUUAUCGGUAGACAAUCCCCGAGUAGGGGUAGCUCGUGGGCUUUAUGAUCCAGGAUCAGAGAAGUGAAUUGUCCAGUAAUAAAUAUAAGGGAAGCAAAGAUUUAUUUUAUUAUUUAAUAUGUAAGUUACAUGGAAGCGGGCAUAAGCCUUGUGCCGUGGCUAGAGUGGACUAUAUGGGCACGGUUUGUAUGACCGUUUGACCCUUACAAUGAAUCCUAACCAUCAAGCCUUAUUUUUGGCACAAAAACUUUUCUUUUCCUUUGCUAAAGAUCUUGAUCUAGGGGUAACGACCCUCAAUAGUCAAGGUCGAACUUGUGAGGGCUCGAAUAGUGUUGACUUGGUGCAAACGAUCAGUAAUUUCGGUUCAAAGCCGGUCUUCAAAACUAAGGUAACACAUUUUACUAUUGCCUCGUUAAAAACCUUGCCGUAAAAUCCGCUUCGGGACAAAAUCGAUUCAAGGAAAAAAGAAUGCAAUACGUGCUUUCAGACUUAAUAGCCACAUAAGCCCCUAGCUUAGUACCUGCAUGCGCUAGUCCAUAAUGUAACAAAAUUAAAAGGAAUUAAGUUUGUAGCUUAGCAGUAGUAUCGCUUUAAGUGUGCCACAUUCCAAUCGUUUGGUAGUUGAACGACAUUUCCCGCUUUGAGUUUGUAUGAGCCUUUGCCGGUUAUUUCGACAACUAGAUAUGGUCCUUCCUAAUUCGGGCCCAGUUUCCCUUCGUUUGGGUUCCUAGUGUGUAGUGUUACCUUUCUCAAUACCAAGUCCCCGACUUGAAAGUAUCAGAGGUUGGAUCUUCGGUUGUAGUACCUUCUAGUUGUUACUUCUGGGCGGCUUCCCGGCUUUCGUCCAACAAUUCCAUGCUCGUUGUCAUGGCCUCUCCAUUUGACUCUUUGGUAGCAUACUGGAACCUGAGGCUCAGUUCCCCUACCUCGACUGGUAUUAAGGCUUCCGCUCCAUAGACCAGAGAAAAUGGGGUCGUCCCGGUACUUGACUUCGAAGUUGUACGGUAUGCCCAUAGGACUUCGGGCAAGAGUUCCUUCUACUUUCCUUUAGAACCGGUUAACCUCUUUUUUAGGUUUUGGAGUAUAGUGUUGUUUGUCGAUUCUACUUGCCCGUUUCCACUAUGGUGGUAAGGCGUUGAUAAUAUCUUCUUUAUCUUGUGGUCUUCGAAAAUCUUACUUACCUUUCUGCCGACGAAUUAUUUUUUGUUAUCGCAAACGAUCUCAGCUAUUAUAUCCAAUCAACAUAUUAUGUUAUCCCAGACGAAGUCAUUGACUUCUUUCUCUCAGACCUUCUCGAACGCCUAAGCCUCGACCCAUUUGGAAAAAUAAUCGGUCAUGAAUAGUAUGAAUUGAACCUAACCGGGUGCCCAUAGCAGGGGAUCGAUGAUGUCCAUUCCCCACUUCAUAAACUGCAAUGGCAACAGGAGUGAGUAGAGCACCUCUCCCAGUUGAUGAAUCAUCGGGGCAUGUCUUUGGCACUCAUCGCAUUUUCACACGAAGUCUUUCGCGUCCUUCUCCAUCUCGUUCCAGUAGUAACCGACUCUGAUUAGCUUCCAAACCAAAGAUUUUGCCACUGGAUGGUUUCUGCAAGUGCCUUCGUGAAAUUCUCUCAUGGCAUACUCGAUCUUUCCCGGCCCAAAAAACAUGGCCAGUGGGCUGAAGAAGGAUCUCCUGAAUGAUGCCCCUUUGACUAGGAAAAAUCUAGCAACCUUGGUGUGCAGGGCUCUCAAUUCUUUGGGAUCCGAAGGCAAUUUUCCCUGCCUUCAGGUAGUCUACGUAUUAGUUUCUCCAAUACCAAGUCAAUCUUAUAGAGUUUACUUCAGCGUGACCUUUAUCUACCACCGAGUUCAUCAGUUGUACUACUGCCCCCAAUCUGAAUUCACCGGAGUCAACAACCGACCCCAAGUUGGCCAGUGCAUCGGCCUCGCUGUUUUGAUCUCGGGGUAUGUAUUACAAAGUCCAUUCCAUGAAUUGGUGCAGGGUCACCUGCAAUUUAUCCAAGUACCUUCAUAUUCGUUCUUCUUUUACUUCGAACGUUCUGUUUACUUGUUUUACCAUGAGGAAGGAGUCGCAUUUGGCUUCGAUUAUUUUGGCCCCAAGGCUCUUAGCCAGUUCUAGAACUGCAAUCAUGGCCUCAUACUCGGCUUUAUUGUUAGUCAAUUUUGCAGUCCUAAUAGACUGCCUAAUUAUAUUUAUCAUAGGUGGUUUUAACACGAUAUUAAGCCCAGAACCUUUCGCGUUGGAGGCACCAUUCGUGAAUAAGGUCCAGAUUCCCGUAAUCUACAAAAAUUUGAGGCUAGCGUAAUGUCGGCCACAAAAUCUACAAAAAUUUGAGAUUUUAUGGAAGUUCGGGGUAGGUACUCGAUGUCGUACCUGCUAAUCUCUACGGACCAUUUGGCUAAAAGGCCCGAGAGCUCGGGCUUAUGCAUGAUAUUCCUCAGCGGGUAAGAGGCUAUGACACAUAUAGGGUGGCAUUAAAAGUACAUCUUUAGCUUCCUGGAAGCGCUUAGCAAAGCGAGUGCUAACUUUUCCAGGUGAGGAUACCUCGAUUCGGCACGUCUAGAACUCUACUAACAUAGUAAAUAGGGAAUUACGUACCUUCUUCCUCCCGGACUAAGACACCACUUACCGUCACGUUGGAAACUGCCAAGUAGUGGUACAGUUGUUCGUCUGCCUUUAGAGUGUGCAGCAGAGGGGAGCUCGACAUGCAUCAUUUGAGUUCUUCCAAAGCUUGUUGGCAUUCCGGAGUCCAGGAAAAAUUAUUCUUCUUCUUCAAUAGUGAGAAGAAUGGAUGGCUCUUGUCUGAGGACCUCGAGAUGAACCGGCCCAAUGCGGCUAUAUGCCUGGUCAGUCUUUGAAUUUCCUUGACAUUGUCCACUACGGUGAUUUCCUCUAUGGCCUUUAUUUUGUCGGGAUUGAUCUCUAUCCCCCUAAUUGGAUACCAUGAACCAGAGGAAUUUACCUACACCGACCCCAAAUGCGAACUUCUCUGAGUUUAGCUUCAUGUUGUAUUUUCUUAGUAUGUCGAAGGUUUCCUUCAAAUGUUUCAAAUGGUCCCCUGCUCGUAAGGACUUGACCCACAUAUCAUCAAUAUAAACCUCCACUAAUUUUCCUAUUUGUUCUUCGAACAUCCGGUUUACUAGGCAUUGGUAAGUUGCACCGACAUUCUUGAAUCCAAACGAAAUUAUGUUAUAGCAGUAGGUGCCAAAUUUGUUGUGAAAGAAGUCUUUUCUUGAUUGCCCAGGUCCAUCCAAAUUUGGUUGUAACUGGAGUAGGCAUCAAAAAACUGAGUAUCUCGUGCCCGGCUGUCGCGUCGAUCAUUCGAUCGCUUGUUAGGAAAAGGGAAAGAAUCCAUAGGGUACGCUUUGUUUAGUUCUUUAUAAUCCACAUACAUCCUUAAUUUAUUUUCUUUUUUAGGUACUACCAUUACAUUAGCUAGCCAAUCUGGGUAUUUAACUUCCCGGAUGGAUCCUAUUUUUAGAAGUUUGGAUAUCUCAUCCUUGAUGAAUGUGUGUUUGAUCUCAGAUUGUGGUCUCUUUUUCUGCUUAACCGGAUGGAACUUCAUGUCCAAACUUAGCUUGUGAGUGGUUACCUCCGGGGGGAUCCCUAUCCUGUCAAGAUGGGACAAAGAAAAAUAAUCAUUGUUAGCUUUAUGAAAAAUAAUAAGUUGUUUCCUAAGCUCGGGGGUUAACCCUGUGCCCAAGUAUACCUUUCGAUACGACAAAUGCUCAAUUCAUAUGAAUUGUUCCAAUUAUUCAACCACUGAUUUGGUGGUGUCAGUGUCAUCAGGAGCUAUGAAUGAUCUCGGGGCGCCAUAAUCGUCCUCCUCUUCUGCUCCUCGUUCUUCCUGAUUCUCCGGUUCGCCCGAGGCCAGUAUUAGUGAUUGCUAUUAAAUCUCUUCCUUUUUGGUUGGUUUUGUGUUCUUUGAUGUCGAAACCGUAGGUACCUGAAUUACCACGUCGACGACAAACAUCUCCUUUGCGGCCGGAUGUUCUCCAUAGACCGUUUUGACUCCUGCCCCCGGUGUGGGAAAUUUCAACGCCUGGUGCAAGGUCGAGGAUACCACCCUCAUGUUGUGGACCAAUGGGCUUCCAAAUAGAGCUUUGUACCUCAUGUCCCCCUCGAUCACGUAGAACUUCAUUUCUUGGAUUGUCCCAGUAGUGUUUACUGGCAGGGUUAUCUCUCCUUUCGUGGUCUCACAUGCCAUGUUAAAUCCGUUCAAUAUCUGGAUUGCCAGUACGAUUUGGUCUUGUAACCCCAAUUGCUCUACGACCCUUGAUCUGAUGAUGUUGAUAGAGGUACCUGGAUCAAUCAACACACGUUUAACUCGAAAUUUAUUGAUAAGUACGGAUAUUACAAGUGCAACAUUGUGAGGUUGUACGAUGCCCUCGGUAUCUUCAUCGCUGAACAAAAUGGCUCCCUCUGGAAUAUAAUCCCGGUGCGUUUUCCCUUGUGAUAGAUACUUUAGUACGUUUCAUCAUUGGCCCCUAAGGAACAACGACCCCUCCAAUGAUCAUGUUGAUCACGUGCUGAAGCUCCUCUUGUUCAACCUAUUUGUUGGCAUCCCUGUUCCUGAAGUGGUUUUACGCUCGCUCACUCAGGAAUUCUCGGAGGUGCCCAUUGUUGAAUAACCAGGCAACUUCUUCUCUCAACUAUCGGCAAUAAUCGGUCAUGUGACCAUGAGUGUCAUGAUACUUACCCAUCAAAUUAGGAUCUCUCUGGGCAGGGUCGAACUACAAUGGUCGGGGCCACUUGGUCUCUUUGAUACGCACUAUAGUUGACACGAUGUUGGCAACGUCCAAAUUGAAGUUGUACUCCGAUAAUCUCGGUGCUUCCCUACUCUCGAGCGGUCUGUCGAACCCAUUUUUUCUUAUUAUACCUCAGCUAAUGGGCCCUCAAUCACUUUUUUUCUUUCUCCUUAUAGGGGCGACACUCGGAUCCACUUCCAUUUCAAUCCGCGCUAUAUGGUUGAUACCGAUCUCGGGCUGAUCAAUGUCUCUCUUAGAUCUAUUGUUGGCCCUGAUGGGGGUAAACAAUUCCAAGAGGGUCUCUGAGUUGGUCGUCCUCGACCCUAAUCUUCGACUGGUACCUUUUGUGGACGUCGACCCAGGUUACUACCGGGUACUCCACCAAAUUUUCUUUUAACUGUUGAGAGGCCAAGGAACUUCUAGGCUUGAGCCCCUGAGUGACUGCCUGAAUGUCCUAAUCACUUGCAUUUUGUGGUAGGUCCAUCUGUUCCAUAUGGAAUCUUUCUGCGAACUCCCUAAGCAUCUCGUUAUCUCUUUGUUUGACCUUGAAGAGAUCUAACUUUAUGCCUUGAUGGCUCCGGCAUGGGCCUUUACGAAAGCAUCUACAAGCAUAGCAAACGAGUCAAUGGAAUUUAGGGGCAAGUUGUGAUUCCAUAUCAUUGCUCCCUUGGACAUGGUCUCCCCAAACUUCUUUAGUAACACCAACUCGAUCUUAUCGUCUUCCAAAUCGUUUCCCUUGAUUGCGUACGUAUAGGAGGUCACAUGCUCAUUUGGAUUUGUGGUCCCAUUAUAUUUGGGGAUGUCAAGCAUAUGAAACCUCUUUGGGAUCGGCUUUGGUGCCGCACUCGGAGGAAAAGGCAUCUAGAUAAAUUUCUUGGAAUCCGGCCCCUUCAAUAUCGGGGGUGCUGUCGAGAUCUGAUCAACCUUGGAAUUGUAUGUUUCCACCUUCUUGUCAUUAUCCUCAGUCUUUUUCUCACCUGACCCCACCCAUUUCGCUAAUGCUUUGAGCAUUUUCAUUACCUCAGGACUUACCCCGGGCUCGGCUUCACCCGGUCUCUCGGUAAUUUGUUCGUCUCUUCGGGUGCUUUCUCGGGAUCGUUCAGGCUCGACCAUGUUGGGGGCGUGGCUUUAAUUCUGCAGUUGUGCUAUUGCCGGUUCUUGAGCCUGCAACAUUUCGAAAAUCAGCCGUAGGCUUACCCCAUCACAUUUGCCUUCGGGAUCUUCUCGAGUUGUUGGUCGGGUUCCCUUCCCCCCUCCCCGAACACUAUUUUCGUGAUCAAUUGGCAAAUUGAUAUUGAUGUCCACCUACGAGUUAGCAUCGGCCGGGUCGGCAACUAGGACAAUGUUGGUAUUGAAAUUAUUAUUUUUGUCAUGAUGUCCAAACUUAGAAUUAACGUUUAAGUAAGGAGACUGAGAGUUUAACAUUUUGGAGAUAUACGUUUUGCCCAAAUCAAAUGAGGCUAUUAUAGGUAAUUAAAGACAUUUAAUGCUACGUUGUAUAAUCAUUAUAUUCAAUACAAAUUCUNNNNNNNNNNNNNNNNNNNNNNNNNNNNNNNNNNNNNNNNNNNNNNNNNNNNNNNNNNNNNNNNNNNNNNNNNNNNNUUUGCUCGUAUUUGUUGCAACUCGUGUCUCUUGGCUAGUUGUAAUUCUUUGACCAUUUGACCAGUCUACGUGUUUCGACACGUAUUCGACACGUCACCUUUAUAUUUAAAUACGAUUUUUCCCAAUACACUGUUAACAGUGAGCUAAAUCCUUUUCAGUGUGCCAUUAUCUGUUGGCCAAAAGCUAACAAAAUGAAGGAAGUUGCAUGUGAUAGCAAAACUUGUUCUAUUUUUUAUUUAAUCUUUCACAUGCACUCUCCUGUUCCAAAAUUGAAUAAUAAAUAUUUAGUCAAAAAGGGUCAGGAAUGUUUAAUCUAGAUGUUGAAAAUUUUCCUUUCCGGCAGUUGCUUAUUGGAUUUUGGAAAAUAAUAUUGAACUUUGAAGAGGAGCAACGGUAACGUUAUUUUCGCAUAAUUUGUAGGUCACGGGUUCGAGCCAUGAAAGUAGUCAUUAAUGCUUGCAUUAAGGUAUGCUAUCUAUAUCAAAUUCCUUGGGGCACGAUCCUUCCCAGAAUCAUGUGUGAACGCGAAAUACUUUAUAUACCAAGCUGCCCUUUUUUACUACUAAACUUUUCUAACGCUACUAAACUUUUCUAACGUGAAAGAUUGAGGUUUGUGUGGACUCUCUCUCUUCACUAGAGUGUAGAGAAACUGGCUGGUGCAGUGUACCAAGAAGAAGAGUUUAUUAUUUAAAUUGGUAUUUAAUGAGAACCUUUUUCAUGUAACUCGCGGUUUAGAUUAAUCAAACUUAAAAUAACAUUUUUAUUUCUAUUUUUCUUGUUUAACUAUGCAAUACCUGCGGAAUAUUUGAGCCAGAAAUUCACCAAGAGAAAAGAUGUAUUUUCUGAGGAAAAAAUAAAUAAAUAAAGAUGUAUUUUCUUAGUAAAAAAAAAUUCCAUUCUUGAGACCGGACCGCAAGAUACAAGUUAAGGAGAAAUGUAUUCUGAUCAUUCCCACUACACCGAUUAGAAUUCUUUUUAUUUAUUAUUUUCUUGUAUGAGUUUGAACUUGAGAUCUUUGAUAAAAAUAAAAGGAUAAAUUUCAUGUGUCAUUCAGCUUUAUAUGUUCAUGUCGAUAAUGUAUGACAACCUUUAAAGGUUCUCCUAAUGUUAAUUUGACCCUAACGUAACUAGGAUAAUUUUGGCCCAUACAAGCAGCACAUAAUGGUGAUUGGUGGAGUCAAUUUCUCUCGUAAGUUGGAACUACAAAUUGCAUAGAAUUUUCCUUGAUAUAACUUAGGAGUGGAAUUUUGGAAAAAUCAUGCUUCUAUAAGAGUAAAAAUGGCAUAUAGUAGUCACUAAUUAAGGGUGUCUUUAAUUUUUAUCCACUAAUUAUAAUGCUCAGCAAAAAUAGCCACUACUAAUAGAAAAAAGACAGUUUUAUCCUUUCUUCAAUGCAUAUAUUCCCAAACCCUUGUUUUUUUCAUUCAGAAGAGGGAACAUUUGAGAGCGAAUCUUUCAGGGCAAGUUUCGUGUGUUCUCAGCAUCUGUAUCAUCCUCGCAUGCUAACGAGCUGCAGUUAAUCUUUCUCCUUCUUCUUCUUCUCUGUCAUCUUCUCUGAAUCGAACGAUCGAACUGCUAUUUUUUUUUUGUUUUAUGCAUUUUGUUUUUCUAUAUGUGUAAUCGCGAUCAAUGUCGUGUCAAGUAUGUGUGAAAUUUCAAAAAUGAUCAUUAUAAGUUGAUUCAGUGUCAGAGAAGUAGCGUAUUUUUGUGAUGUUGUUAUUCAGAAAUUUUUGGUGUUGAAAUGUGAAAUGUGUUUGUGGUUGAUUCAAUAUAUUUGAUUAUGUAAGGACAUUUCAUAAAAAUUAAAAAUAGUCGUAUAAAUUCAUAAGCUUACUGUGUUUAUGAAUUUUUAGUUAACUGUGUUCAUGAAAGAUAAGGACCAAACGACAUUAACUUUUGAAGUUGGAACUCAAAGUUAAGGACUGAGUGUCCUUAACUUUUGAACUUGAAACUUGAAGUUAAGGACAAAGUGUCCUUAACUUUGGAACUUGAAAGUUGAAGUUUAGGACCAAGUGUCCUUAACUUUUCAACUUGAAACUAUAAGUUAAGGACUGUCUGUCCUUAACUUUUUAACUUGAAACUUGAAGUUAAGGACCAAGUGUCCUUAACUUUUGAACUUGAAAUAAUAAGUUAAGGACUGCCUAUUCUUACCUCUUUAACUUGUAAAUCUAUGUUAAGGACUAAGUGUCCUUUACUUUUGAACUUGGAAUUCAAAGUUAAGGACUGCCUGUCCUUAACUUUUAAACGUGAAACUUGAAGUUAAGGACCAAGUGUCCUUAUUUUUUGAACUUGAAACUAUAAGUUUAAGGACUGCCUAUUCACCUCUUUAACUUGUAACUCUAAGUUAAGGACUAAGUGUUCUUAACUUUUGAACUUGGAAUUCAAAGUUAAGGACUGUCUGUCCUUAACUUUUUAACUUGAAACUUGAAGUUAAGGACCAAGUAUCCUUAACUUUUUAACUACAAAUUUGAAGUUCAGGACCUAUUAUCCUUAACUUUUCAACUUUAAACUUUAAGUUAAGAAUUGCUUGUCCUUAACUUUUUUACUUGAAACUUGAAGUUAAGGACCAAGUCCCUCCAACCUGUAAGUCCUAAUCUUUAUUUUCUUUUUCCUUCUUUGUAGUGUGAUAAUGGAAGGAGAUCGUGUGUUCAAGUUUGAUGUUUGGCGUAAUUUUAUGGUGUAUUGGAAAAGAGAUUUACAGUAUAAGGAAACAAUCAAAAGUUUUUUGUCAAACAGGUAGUGGAAGAAGUUGAGGGAUGGUAUUUUUGGCAACUUCUUCUGAUUACAAAGUGUGAAGUUCUGUGGUAAACUUAUUCACUGUAUAUUGCUUUCAAAAAUUGUAAAUAAUGACCCUGAUUCGAUGACAUUCAAGGUUUUUGACCGUGAAAUUAAGUUUACACGUGACGCAUUUCAUAUAUUACUGGUUUGAAGUGUUAUUCCUCACCGAACAUAAAAGGUUUAUAUGAAAAAGAGAAUAGGCUUUCGAAAGUCUAUUUCCCCGGAAAGGAUAGAGUUGAGUUGGGUGAUUUGUUUAAUUUUAUUACUAGUCACCCACAGGGUACAACUGCAGCAUUUGUAGGCAGCGAUGAUGAUGCUAUGAAGUUGGAAACAAUUUAUUUUGUUGAAUCUAUUUUGAUGGGCAAGCGGAAGAAUAAGAAUGUGUCCGAGCAGAUAAUGAAAAUUGUAGACGAUGAUGAACUCUGCUCUUCUUUCAAUUGGGGUCUCUUUCUUAUGAGACAUUAUUAAAAUCAUUGAAUAGUUGUUUGAAGCCAAAUGAGAAUGAGACUGAGAAAGACAAAGAUAAAGACAAGGAUAGCUACACUAUACUUGGUUUUCCUUUUGCCUUUUGUGUUUGGAUUAUAGAAGUAAUUCUUAUUUUCCAAGAAAAACAAUUUGUGAACUUCCAAGAAUUUGGUUAUCCUCGGAUGUUAUGUUAUUCGGAAAUGAAAUCUCCACGGUUUGAUUCUCUGAAUAAAAAAUACUUCCAUAAUGAAAAUAUAAGUCAAUCUAAUUACUAUCUAUUUUUUUGUUUAUUUGCUUUUGUUAUGAAAACUUAUGUUUAUUUUUUGUUAUAUAAUAGUUGUAUAAGUUGUUCGAG